RNAcentral lists this transfer RNA (72 nucleotides) under Bothrogonia lata. RNAcentral's name for it is "tRNA-Ile". Lineage: Eukaryota; Metazoa; Arthropoda; Insecta; Hemiptera; Cicadellidae. RNAcentral also lists the same sequence under 2 other names. The record is from RNAcentral.
AAUAAGAUGCCUGAAUUUAAAGGAUUAUUUUGAUAGAAUAAAUUAUGCAUAAUUAUAUAUAUGUUCUUAUUA